This is a long non-coding RNA of Lolium perenne, 355 nucleotides long. RefSeq lists it as uncharacterized. Lineage: Eukaryota; Viridiplantae; Streptophyta; Magnoliopsida; Poales; Poaceae. The record is from RefSeq and is a predicted model, not a curated record.
GAUAAUAGUGUAUUCCAUACAAAAUGCGUUUUUUAAUCCUUCUUGUGUUAUUAUCGAACACAUCAUUCUCCCUUUGUAUGGUAGGAAAGAGUGGUAAUCCCCGAGUCCUCGAAAAGCACGAGACAACUCAAAAACAGAAGCCUUUUUUGUCAUCAUGGAGGCACAAAAUUCGAGCAGGACUUCAAGAUGAAGAAAACCGUAUUUCUCAUGUGGCCAUGUAUCACACUAGCCCUGGGUAUUACUACCGUUACGGUACUCAAGCUAAAAUAGGUAUAUGGGGCUCACCAAAUCAGAGGCACCUUCAAGAGUCUGGAACAUCCAUACUAAUUACCAGCGAUCAACUCCUAAACUUCAG